UCAAGUAGAAAAGGGCGCAUGGUGAAUGCCUAGGCACUAGAAGCCGAUGAAGGACGUGACGAACCACGAAAGGCUUCGGGGAGCAGUAAGUAAGCGAUGAUCCGGAGAUAUCCGAAUGGGGGAACCCAAUACCGCGAGGUAUUAUCAAGAGCUGUUAAGGCUGUUGAAGGAAGACGCAGUGAACUGAAACAUCUAAGUAGCUGCAGGAAGAGAAAGAAAAAUCGAUUUCCCAAGUAGCGGCGAGCGAACAGGAAAGAGCCCAAACCAGCUGGCUUGCCAGUUGGGGUAGUAGGACUGCAAUAAAGUACUUGAAGCGAUAGCAGAAUUAUCUGGAAAGAUAAGCCAGAGAGGGUGAGAGCCCCGUAAGCGAAAUUGCAGAGAGACUUAGCAGGAUCCUGAGUAGGUCGGGACACGAGGAAUCCCGAUUGAAACCGCGAGGACCAUCUCGCAAGGCUAAAUACUAACUAGUGACCGAUAGUGAACCAGUACCGUGAGGGAAAGGUGAAAAGAACCCCGGAAGGGGAGUGAAAGAGAACCUGAAACCGUGUGUCUACAAGUAGUCAAAGCACAUUAAAGUGUAAUGGCGUGCCUUUUGUAGAAUGAACCGGCGAGUUACGUUAUGGUGCAAGGUUAAGUCAGAAAAGACGGAGCCGGAGCGAAAGCGAGUCUGAAGAGGGCGAGAGAGUAUCAUGACGUAGACCCGAAACCAAGUGACCUACCCAUGACCAGGUUGAAGGCGUGGUAAAACACGCUGGAGGACCGAACCCACGUGAGUUAAAAAUCGCGGGGAUGAGUUGUGGGUAGCGGUGAAAUUCCAAACGAACUUGGAGAUAGCUGGUUCUCUCCGAAAUAGCUUUAGGGCUAGCCUCGUGUGAAUGAUAAUGGAGGUAGAGCGCUGUUUGGACUAGGGGCCCGUCAGGGGUUACUGAAUCCAGAUAAACUCCGAAUGCCAGAUAUCAAUGCACGGGAGUCAGACUGCGAGUGAUAAGAUCCGUAGUCGAAAGGGAAACAGCCCAGAUCACCAGUUAAGGUCCCCAAAUCUAUGCUAAGUGGAAAAGGAUGUGGAGUUGCGUAGACAACUAGGAUGUUGGCUUAGAAGCAGCCACCAUUUAAAGAGUGCGUAAUAGCUCACUAGUCGAGUGACGCUGCGCCGAAAAUGUACCGGGGCUAAGCAUAGUACCGAAACUGUGGAUGCAUAUCAAAGGAUAUGCGUGGUAGGAGAGCGUUCUAAGUGCGGAGAAGUUAGAUCGAGAGGACUAAUGGAGCGCUUAGAAGUGAGAAUGCCGGUAUGAGUAGCGAAAGAUAGGUGAGAAUCCUAUCCGCCGAAAGACUAAGGUUUCCUGGGGCAGGCUCGUCCGCCCAGGGUAAGUCGGGACCUAAGGUAAGGCCGAGAGGCGUAGCCGAUGGACAACAGGUAGAGAUUCCUGUACUGAAAUUGUUUGAUAAGAGCAAAGGAGGGACGCAGGAGGCUAAUGACGCAUGUAGCUGGAAAAACAUGUGCAAGCAGUAAGAAAAAAGAUGAGUCAAAUGCUUAUUUUUAGAUUUCAAGCUGUGACGCGGAGUGAAAUCAAAGUAGCGAAGGUCAUGAUGUCACACUGCCAAGAAAAGCUUCUAGCCAGAGCAAUUUUACCCGUACCGCAAACCGACACAGGUAGUCGAGUGGAGAACACUCAGGUGAGCGAGAGAACUCUCGUUAAGGAACUCGGCAAAAUGACCCCGUAACUUCGGGAGAAGGGGUGCUGAUGGUAAAAGAUCAGCCGCAGUGAAUAGGCCCAAGCAACUGUUUAUCAAAAACACAGGUAUCUGCAAAAUCGUAAGAUGACGUAUAGGUGCUGACACCUGCCCGGUGCUGGAAGGUUAAGAGGAGAGCUUAGCGUAAGCGAAGGUUUGAAUUGAAGCCCCAGUAAACGGCGGCCGUAACUAUAACGGUCCUAAGGUAGCGAAAUUCCUUGUCGGGUAAGUUC
This 1964-nucleotide ribosomal RNA is filed under the name human gut metagenome. Its description in RNAcentral is "bacterial LSU rRNA". It matches the Rfam family "Bacterial large subunit ribosomal RNA", at positions 3 to 1983 of the family's 2925-position model. The record is from RNAcentral.